CUUAUUGAACUUCAAAAAAAUAUUAAAGAUUUGGAAACAUUUAAAUCACAAAAUAAUCAUGAAUGUCAAAAAUAUGAAUCACAAAUCAAAAAAUUGGAAGAAGAACUGGAACUGGAAAGAAGAAAAGCCUCUGAACUGAAAACAUAUAACUUCGAGUUACAGGAUAAAUUAAAUGAUAUCAAAGAAAUUUUCAAAAAGGAUAAAAUCGUUUCAGAAGAUCAAAUCAACAUGUUGAAGGUCGAUUUGGAAGAGUACAAAAAUGAGUAUGAUAAAUUAUGUGAUAACUACAA
This is a long non-coding RNA of Gordionus sp. m RMFG-2023, 290 nucleotides long. RefSeq lists it as uncharacterized. The record is from RefSeq and is a predicted model, not a curated record. NCBI's taxonomy places the organism in Eukaryota, Metazoa, Nematomorpha, Gordioida, Chordodea, Parachordodidae. The transcript is spliced from 3 exons.